CUGGCCAAUCAGCGCUUGUAUCGUAACCAAGAUUCAACCAAGAAUUGACCAAUCGGCGUUUCAGUAUGCCGUGUAUACUCGGAGUGGAUGCCGGCUAGUGAGAGAAUCACUUUUUCCAACUCUGCGAAAAGGGAACCAUGCUUUACAAAAUGGGCUGACGGCAGUCUGAACCUUACAGACACAUUGGAAGCUACGAAGGUGAAGGAAAGAACAAAGGCAGACCGGGGAUGCAACCUCUUUCCCCAGAGGAAGUGAUGGAUAAGGCCAGAAGAGCCAUAACCCAGCAACACAUGAGAUCCAAUCCAACAGAGGACACCUGAUGGGUUUGUUCAAAUUGUGGCACCAGGUGUGGAGAGCACUAAAAGGUGCUUCGUUGGGGCUCACAGUCCCGCACAGUGGCCAGACUGCAACCGAGUGGUAGAGGCCAUCUUCACAAACCUCUGUCAGCUCUACCCAAAUAGUGUGCGCUGUGAGGGAGUGAGGGUCUCACGAUUCAAAAUGGUGACACGUGCUUAUAAGCACAUCCGAGAGUGUGUGAUCACCAAUGCCAAGUUGAUGACUGAGACCACCAUCCAGCUCCCAGAAGUCAGUGCUGCAACUGUGACACAAUGGUUCAGCAGGCGUUGCAGGUCUCGGGAACAUCAGAUCCUGAAGCAGGGUAUCCCAGCUCCUGACGCACCCAUGGCAGGACCUGAGAAGCUUCCUGUGGCCAUGCAGAAAGGGCCAUCUCUGUAUCCCGGGAGUUUGGCUCAGCCUCACAUCUUUGUUCUGCCACCAAACACUGCUGAUGAGGCAAAGCUCAAGAAGGGAUCGAGACCAUUGGCCAUCUCGC
Molecule: long non-coding RNA, 832 nt
Organism: Eleginops maclovinus (Patagonian blennie)
Lineage: Eukaryota; Metazoa; Chordata; Actinopteri; Perciformes; Eleginopidae
Exons: 4
Source: RefSeq, a predicted model, not a curated record